RNAcentral lists this ribosomal RNA (89 nucleotides) under Picocystis salinarum. RNAcentral's name for it is "partial Eukaryotic large subunit ribosomal RNA". It matches the Rfam family "Eukaryotic large subunit ribosomal RNA", at positions 348 to 436 of the family's 3401-position model. Lineage: Eukaryota; Viridiplantae; Chlorophyta; Picocystophyceae; Picocystales; Picocystaceae. The record is from RNAcentral.
GUACCGUGAGGGAAAGAUGAAAAGAACUUUGAAAAGAGAGUUAAAAAGUGCUUGAAAUUGUUGAGGGGGAAGCGAUUGGUAGCAGCGGG